CUGGUGAGUACAAGGUGAAUAACGUGCCUCAGAGUGGGGGAUAACUUCGCGAAAGCGGAGCUAAUACCGCAUGGUCUCCUUAGCUUGCGGGCUGGGGAGUAAAGCAGCAAUGCGCUUUGAGAUCGGUUCACCUCCCAUUAGCUUGUUGGUGGGGUAACGGCCCACCAAGGCCGCGAUGGGUAGCUGGUCUGAGAGGAUGGUCAGCCACACUGGGACUGAGAUACGGCCCAGACUCCUACGGGGGGCAGCAGUCUAGAGGCUUCGACAAUGCCCGAAAGGGUGAUCGAGCGACGCCGCGUGCGGGAUGAAGGGCUUCGGCUUGUAAACCGCUUUUCUUUGGGAAGAAGGCCUGGUUCGUGAAAUCAGGAUUGACGGUACCAGGGGAAUAAGCCCCGGAUAACUCCGUGCCAGCACCCGCGGUAAGACGGAGGGGGCAAGCGUAGUUCGGAAUUAUAGGGCGUAAAGGGCUCGUAGGCGGAUCCGACAGUCUGACGUGAAAUCUCCAACGAUCACCGGGGAGGGGCCGUUGGAUACUACGGAUCUGGAGUUCGGCAGAGGACCAUGGAAUUUCGGGUGUA
This 578-nucleotide ribosomal RNA is filed under the name uncultured Thermoleophilum sp. RNAcentral's name for it is "bacterial SSU rRNA". It matches the Rfam family "Bacterial small subunit ribosomal RNA", at positions 103 to 677 of the family's 1533-position model. Lineage: Bacteria; Bacillati; Actinomycetota; Thermoleophilia; Thermoleophilales; Thermoleophilaceae. The record is from RNAcentral.